RNAcentral lists this long non-coding RNA (1262 nucleotides) under Vigna radiata. RNAcentral describes it as "long non-coding RNA (VRAD_LNC006337)". The record is from RNAcentral. Lineage: Eukaryota; Viridiplantae; Streptophyta; Magnoliopsida; Fabales; Fabaceae.
GUGUUUCACUCAAUCACUCAAGUGUCUAAGGUUACACUCCACUCUCUAUUGUUCACAAGUCACAUGAAACAAAAUUGCCAUUCAUCUCAAACAAUCAACAUCUUUACAUGAAAAUGCCAUCAAAAGGACUUUUCCAAGGCAUGUAAUGAGGUUGGGCUAACAAGAAAGAAUUGGUUUUUCUAGAAUGAAAAAUCCUUGAGUCAAGAGAGCUAUCAAAACAUUCAACAUUUAAGCACAACUCUCUCACCAAUGUCUCUCGUUCCCAACUUUUCCCUCUUCUUUUUGUUUUGCAUUGAGCUCUUCUUCAUGCUUUUCUUCUUUUCUUUUUCUUUUUCUCAUGAAUUUUUCUUUUCACAAUAUUUGAGCUCAAUGCUUUUCACUUGCUUUUUCAAUUUUCCCCCGUACAACCCCAAACUUGAACCUUUUCAUCACAUACAAUUAGGCUCAUCCCAACUCAAGGUAAAGAAUUUCAAAACAAGGGUUCACAUAUUGUUUAAGGCUAAGGUUCAAAAAGGGUAUAAUAUUUUAAGUAUUUUGGGUGAGAAUUUGGCUAGAGAAGGGUUUUCAAAAAUGGCCUUGAUCAUAUGACAUUCACAUGCAAUUCAAUCAAUCAUCAAGAUUAAGGCAAUAUCAUCCAUGUUUUCCUGUGAACAAUACAUGCAAUAAUAAAAACUCUGGAGCUCAAAAUCUCACACACAUGCUUCCUCACACAAAAUUCAUUCAUACACCAUGCCUAGCAUCAUGACCACAAUCAUAAAUUCAUCACCCAUCUAUUUCCUGGAUAUCAACAUGCGUCGCAACUCAAUUCUCAUCCACAUCAAAUAGUCAUCAAAUAGAUCCAUCAUGCACAUCAGUCAGUCAAACAUUUUCAGAAUAAGUGUUAAAGCCAAGAGUACACACCAAAAUAAAAAUUCAACCUAUUCUAUAAAUUUAAGAAGAAGCAAAAUAAAAUAAAAAAAUAAAAGCAACAGAAAGAAAAACUAAAUCCUGUCUAUAGACAUCCCUCAGUAGAUGUCUGCUAUUAGCCCAUGCUGUCAUCAGAGUCCUCCUGACUCUCAUCAUCUGCGUCCUCAAAGUUCUCCUCCUCAGUGUUAGGAGCUCUAGUUGCUCCAAACCCACUACUCUGCGCCUGCUGCUCAGGCCAUGCCACAACUAUAUGAAACUCGUCCAUAGUCCACAUGUGCACUGGUGGCUGGUCAUAUAAUCCAAUGAUCAUCUCAGUCGUCAUCACCUGCCCUUUGUGAAGGGCUUCCAUCCGGGCC